AGAACGCUGAAGAGAGGAGCUUGCUCUUCUUGGAUGAGUUGCGAACGGGUGAGUAACGCGUAGGUAACCUGCCUGGUAGCGGGGGAUAACUAUUGGAAACGAUAGCUAAUACCGCAUAAAAUGGAUUAUCGCAUGAUAAUGCAUUGAAAGGUGCAAAUGCAUCACUACCAGAUGGACCUGCGUUGUAUUAGCUAGUUGGUGGGGUAACGGCUCACCAAGGCGACGAUACAUAGCCGACCUGAGAGGGUGAUCGGCCACACUGGGACUGAGACACGGCCCAGACUCCUACGGGAGGCAGCAGUAGGGAAUCUUCGGCAAUGGACGGAAGUCUGACCGAGCAACGCCGCGUGAGUGAAGAAGGUUUUCGGAUCGUAAAGCUCUGUUGUAAGAGAAGAACGAGUGUGAGAGUGGAAAGUUCACACUGUGACGGUAUCUUACCAGAAAGGGACGGCUAACUACGUGCCAGCAGCCGCGGUAAUACGUAGGUCCCGAGCGUUGUCCGGAUUUAUUGGGCGUAAAGCGAGCGCAGGCGGUUAGAUAAGUCUGAAGUUAAAGGCUGUGGCUUAACCAUAGUACGCUUUGGAAACUGCUUAACUUGAGUGCAAGAGGGGAGAGUGGAAUUCCAUGUGUAGCGGUGAAAUGCGUAGAUAUAUGGAGGAACACCGGUGGCGAAAGCGGCUCUCUGGCUUG
Molecule: ribosomal RNA, 690 nt
Filed under: uncultured Bacilli bacterium
Lineage: Bacteria; Bacillati; Bacillota; Bacilli
Description: bacterial SSU rRNA
Rfam family: Bacterial small subunit ribosomal RNA
Source: RNAcentral